UUUGACCGAACCGAGCAGCAACGGCCGUUCCCGAUCCUGGCCGUAGGUCGCCAGCAGUGCCUGCGCCUC
Molecule: antisense RNA, 69 nt
Filed under: Amycolatopsis keratiniphila
Lineage: Bacteria; Bacillati; Actinomycetota; Actinomycetes; Pseudonocardiales; Pseudonocardiaceae
Description: ASpks TB sRNA
Rfam family: ASpks TB sRNA
Source: RNAcentral